UGGGGAAUAUUGCACAAUGGGGGAAACCCUGAUGCAGCGACGCCGCGUGAACGAAGAAGGUAUUCGUAUCGUAAAGUUCUGUCCUAUGGGAAGAUAAUGACAGUACCAUAGAAGAAAGCUCCGGCUAAAUACGUGCCAGCAGCCGCGGUAAUACGUACGGAGCGAGCGUUGUCCGGAAUUAUUGGGCGUAAAGGGUACGCAGGCGGUUUAAUAAGUCGAAUGUUAAAGAUCGGGGCUCAACCCCGCAAAGCAUUGGAAACUGAUAAACUUGAGUAGUGGAGAGGAAAGUGGAAUUCCUAGUGUAGUGGUGAAAUACGUAGAUAUUAGGAGGAAUACCAGUAGCGAAGGCGACUUUCUGGACACAAACUGACGCUGAGGUACGAAAGCGUGGGGAGCAAACAGG
RNAcentral lists this ribosomal RNA (403 nucleotides) under bacterium. RNAcentral describes it as "partial 16S ribosomal RNA". It matches the Rfam family "Bacterial small subunit ribosomal RNA", at positions 355 to 776 of the family's 1533-position model. The record is from RNAcentral.